UACGUACUGUGCGAACGUUAUUCGGAAUCACUGGGCUUAAAGGGUGCGUAGGCGGCCGUUUAAGUAGGGUGUGAAAGGCCUCGGCUCAACCGGGGCAUUGCGCUCUAGACUGGGCGGCUUGAGUGAGAUAGGGGUGUGCGGAACUUCCAGUGGAGCGGUGAAAUGUGUUGAUAUUGGAAGGAACGCCGGUGGCGAAAGCGGCACACUGGGUCUUAACUGACGCUGAGGCACGAAAGCCAGGGGAGCGAACGGG
Molecule: unclassified non-coding RNA, 253 nt
Filed under: uncultured Planctomycetales bacterium
Lineage: Bacteria; Pseudomonadati; Planctomycetota; Planctomycetia; Planctomycetales
Description: contains 16S-23S intergenic spacer region
Rfam family: Bacterial small subunit ribosomal RNA
Source: RNAcentral